RNAcentral lists this signal recognition particle RNA (292 nucleotides) under Solanum lycopersicum (tomato). RNAcentral's name for it is "Plant signal recognition particle RNA". It matches the Rfam family "Plant signal recognition particle RNA", at positions 41 to 305 of the family's 305-position model. Lineage: Eukaryota; Viridiplantae; Streptophyta; Magnoliopsida; Solanales; Solanaceae. The record is from Rfam by way of RNAcentral.
GUCUCGGGGUAAGAUCGGGGAGUGACAAUUAGUGUGGUGGAAUGUUGGGUUGUUCUAGAUGAUUGGGCUUGGUGGGCUAAUUUCUGGCUUGCCCUGUCCAAGAACAGAUUUGGGUGUUGUUGUCCAAUCGAAAGAAUGGGCUGCUGGGUUCCUAAAGCCGGAGGGAUUUGCGUGAGGCUUGUUUCAUAGAGCAACGAAUAGUAUCCACUCUAUGCAGUGGAAGGAUAACUAAUCAGUGCCCUCCUAAGUCCAAUAACACCUGAUGGGCUGCUCCAAUUAAACCAUCACUUUU